UUCUUUAAUUGGUUAAUGUAGUUCGUGUCAUAUGAUAUAGUAGAAAACAAGGCAAAUGGAAUAUCUGCUAAUGCAUUUUUGUUUCUCUAAAUCAUAGUAUCAUCUGCAUUCCUUGAUUUCAAGCUCACUAAUUUCAUGAACUGAUACAGCGGGUCGAUUCAGACCCGGAAUGCAGCAUCUUGUGGAAUUAAGCGUCACAUGGGGCUACUCAAGGAAGUUUCAGGUCUUUGGAUUUGGUAUUUGAUUUGAGAUUUCAGAUGAGAAAGUUGGAUUCUUCACAUGUGACUUUGUCUUCAUCGUUAAAAUUGUCAUACCAUUUGCCUACUUAUACAGAUUGUUUAUGUGCGCUAUGAGUACUGCCCAAAGUUAGCAUCUUAAAUUUAAUUGUGAUGAGAGAGAGAGAGAGAGAGAGAGAGAGAGAGAUAUGGGUGAUGGAGUCAAGGUCUGUGUUCCAUUUGUUUGUUUGUCGUCUUUACCCACUUUUCUUUUACAAGACGGAUUUGGUCAACCUGUUAAUUUCUACGUCAUGACUUUGGAGUGGGGCUCAGUUGACUCGUUCAUGCAUGACAUAAACGCAUGCAGUAAAUGUGCAUCGACCAGUAGGGAACGCUCUGAGUUGUGUGUAUUCUAACAUCUACAGUAAAUAUGGCAUCGAUCGAUUGUUAUGUAGGAUUAA
Musa acuminata AAA Group (dessert banana) is the source of this 676-nucleotide long non-coding RNA. RefSeq lists it as uncharacterized. The record is from RefSeq and is a predicted model, not a curated record. Lineage: Eukaryota; Viridiplantae; Streptophyta; Magnoliopsida; Zingiberales; Musaceae. The transcript is spliced from 2 exons.